Syngnathoides biaculeatus (alligator pipefish) is the source of this 4986-nucleotide long non-coding RNA. RefSeq lists it as uncharacterized. The transcript is spliced from 3 exons. Lineage: Eukaryota; Metazoa; Chordata; Actinopteri; Syngnathiformes; Syngnathidae. The record is from RefSeq and is a predicted model, not a curated record.
CUUCGAUAGAUCAGAAACAUGCACACCAGAUUCAUGUUCGGCGAGCAAAUCCUUCUUGAAGUCGACAGUUUUAUGCACCACUUUCCUUUUUUCAGCACCAACAGUUCCACUUGCAUUCUUUGCGCCAUGAUCGGGGGUUAAUGUUGCUCAAUUUCAAGAAAAAAAAGUCACUACAGUACUGGUGCGCGUCCGCGAGCAAAGUGUGAGUCAACUGGUUGCGCCAUGCGCAGUCGCGCGGGUUACGUCUUUCCGUUUUUUUUCGGGGGUUCGUUCGAAAGCACAAUAACAAAUCGUCGUUCGUCGCCGUUCAAAUACCGAUUUUCAUUCAAAAUCCAAGGCAAAAAAAAUCUCCAACUUUUCAUUUGAAGACUGAUUUGUAUGAAAACCAAGACGUUCGACCGAGGUGCCACUGUACAGUGUAGUCGUCCUGUCCCAUGUGCAGAAAAACAUCCCAUGAUGCUUCACAGUAAGGAUGGUGUCCUUGGGAUAGAACUCAUCAUUUGUCUUCCUCCAAACACGAUGGUCUCUCUCACAGUGGAUAUGAACCUCCGAUGAAAAUUCCAGACCCCUCCAUGAUUUACGUCACCUGGACAAUGCACCUGCCUUCAAGCAGCACUUCCUACUGCUUUUAAGCCUAUCAAGUCCAGUAAACCACUGCCUGAGUAUUGACACUUGAUUGUGGUUCGCCGGGUGACUCUCGGACCUCCAGGUUUCUAUGCUGUUCACUGUCUGCGUGAUAACCUCUUGUGUUCUCAAUGUCGCCAAGUGCUGUGCUGAUGCAAAAGCUUCCUCUGGAGUGCCCAAGAAGAAGAGGAAGACGAUGACAAUCAGUGAAAAUGUAAAACUUUUGCAUAUGAUCAAAGAUGACAGGAGUUACGCUUUUGUGGAGCGCCAGGGUGCGCGACAUAAAAUCUGUAAAACUGCUUUAAUAAUUUUAGGAAGGAAAACAUGUGGCGACUCUGUGAAAUAAGAGGAUUGUUCGAAUGGAAGCUGUGUUAGCUUUGCAGACAGUGGAUUGCAGAAAAACGGCCCGGUGACAAUGAUGAAGAGGCUGAAGAAAGUGAUGACGAACCUCAAGCUGCAAGGAGUGAUCUCCCCCAACACACACACUUGAGGAUGAGGCUUUUUGGCAAGCAAAAGUUGGUUUGAAAAAUGCAUGCUAAAACAAUGUGAUACAACGAAGAGAGGCACAUCGGUGAGACACAAAGGAUGUCAGAAUGGUGCUGAUUAUAGUGUGUGUGCAUAAACCUGCGUCAGUCCUGAAUACUUCCGCAUUAAUUUUAUACCUACGCUGUAAAUUCCAACACAUUAUUGUUAAUGUGGGGCAAGUGUGUCAGAGCGUCUAUCAAACUCAAAUUGAUAUAGUAGUUAAAAAAAAACCUACCAUGUGUUUUUUUAAUAAAUUAAUACAAUUAAAUACCCCAAGUGGGUACUCGCAUGUGUGUCACUUCAGCCUGACCAUUGUAAAAGGUCACCGGUAGCCACUGAUAUAGAUAUAUACUUUGCGUGUAUUUUUAUUCUUUAUUCUCUUUAUUUUCCUUUAACAUCUUUAAGUUAUUAUGAUGCAGGUCUUUUGUCAUACGGAAUUCUGGAAUGUUCUGAGGAGUGCCUGUGUAAGGAUGAGAAAGACCGUCAACGGGGCUUCCAACGACCGCACCGGUGCUUGGGACAAUUACACAGACACCUUCUGCCUUUCGUCUUUGGACAUUUCUGGAAUAUUUGCUCACUUGGAAUAUUUGCUGGAAUGUUCUGAGGAGUGCCUUUAUAAGGAUGAGAAAGACCGUCAAUGGGGCUUCUUACGACCGCACCGCUGCUUGGGACAAUUACACAGACGCCUUCUGCCUUUCAUCUUUGGACAUUUCUGGAACAUUCACUCACUUGGAAUAUUCGCUGGAAAGAACAUUUAUCUGUUUGGGAAUAUUCGUUCAACGUUGGUGACUAUUCGCUGUUUGACUCGACUACUCGGUCUUUGAACUUUUAUUUUAUGUUAGUUGUUUUAUCGUGCCUGUGUUGUAUUGUGUGUGUGAUUAAAGUGUCUGAAAGUGCUUUGUCACAUUUUGCUGGUUUAAGUAAAGGGGAUUUUAAUCUAAAUUCACACGACUAUAUAUAUAUAUAUAUAUAUAUAUAUAUAUAUAGAUAGAUAGAUAGAUAGAUAGAUAGAUAGAUAGAUAGAUCUGUCCGAUUUAUUAGCCGCUUAUCCUCACAAGGGUCGUGGCAACGGGUUAGGAUUAGGGUUAACCCUAAAUUGCCAAGCAGCUUGGUGAAAAAAGGUCCACUGUUGAAGCAAUCAUUAGAAAAUGGAAGAAGCUCAACAUGAUGGUCAAUCUCAAUCAUAGUGGAGCCCCAUGCAAGAUAUCACCCCCUGGGGUCUCAAUGAUCCUUAGAAAGGUGAGGAAACCUCCCAGGACUACACAACAGGACUUGGUCAAUGACCUGAAAAGAGCUGGGACCACCAUUUCCAAGGUGACUGUUGGUAAUACACUAAGACGUCAUGGUUUGAAAUCAUGCAUGGCACGGAAGGCAUGCUUAAACCAGCACAUGUCGAGGCCCGUCUUAAGUUUGCCACUGACCAUUUGGAUGAUACAGAGGAGUCAUGGGAGAAAGUUUUGUGGUCAAAUGAGCCCAAAAUGUAACUUUUUGGUCAUAAUUCCACUAAGUGUGCUUGGAUCCCUAUCCCAAGAACACCAUGCCUGUUGCGAAGGAUGGGGUGGUAGCAUUGUGCUUUGGGGGUGUUUUUCUGCAAAUGGGACAGGACGACUCACUGUAUUAAGGAGAGGAUAACCCCGGCCAUGUCUUGUGAGAUUUUGGGGAACCUCUUUCCCUCAAUCAGAGCACUGAAGGUGGGUUGUGGCUGGGUCUUUCAACAUGACAAUGACCCGAAGCACACAGCCAGGAAAACCAAGGAGUGGCUCCAAAAGAAGCAUAUCAAGGUUCUGCCAUGGCCUAUAAUUCUAUAAUAAAUAAUAAUCCAAGAUAAAAUAUACAUUAAAAAUACUGAAAAGAGAUUGCACAGCAUUCCAGCCUGAGUCUAUUGCACAGUGGUGUUCCAGAGGUAACCUGUGGGAUGGUCACCGGUGGUUGGGGUUAGCGUUCAUAGCUAUGAUGGCAUUUGGCUUUAUUAAAUUUUUCCUGGCUUUGAUACACCUGGAGGUGCUCCCUGUGGGCAGUAGGUCAAACAGGUCAGCUCCAGGGUCGUAAGUGUCCUUGAUGAUGUUUUGAGCUCUAUUGAGACAGCGGGUGGUGUAAAUGUACGUCAGAGAAGGGAGAAGGCAGCCCAUGAGUUUCCAAGCUGCCUUUACUACCAUCUGCAGCCUCUCUGUGUCAGCCAUAGAGCCAUUUCUAUACCACACUGUAAUGCAGUAUAUAAGCAGACUCUUAAUGAAUGACCGAUAGAAGGUCCACAGGGUGGAGUUAAGGUUGGACUUCCUGAGAGUCUUCAGGAAAUCUAUUUGCUGCUGAGUCUUCUUGGUGAUCGCUGAGAUGGUGUUUGUCCAGCAGAUGUUAGAAGAGAUGAGGACGCCGAGGUAUGGGAAUGUGUGGAUCCUCUCUACACGUUCGCCGUUGAUGGAGAGGGGAGCCGCAUCGUUGAUGAUCCUCCUGAAGUUGACAGCAAUCUCGUUGGUUUUAUUGGUGUUCAGAGUCAGGUUUUUAAUUGAGCACCAAGUUGCCAGCUACAGGACCUCUCCCUGUCUCGUGUCGUCCUGAAAUUAGUCCAACCACUCUGGUGUCAUCAGCAAACUUCAGUAUGAAGUUGUUGUUUUGAGACAGAUGACAAUAAUGGGUGUAGAACAGGGGUGCUCAAUGUGUCGAUCGAGAUCGGAGGCAGUUUGUCAAUUUUGUGACGCCCCCCCCCAAAAAAAAAGAUGUCAGCCCAUCAUCCAUCUCGUCGCUUGGUUCAGGUGUGGCAGAUACGUCAAUUGCACACACAUAAAGGCACUUUCUAGCAAACUGGCCUCCUAUAUACGGUGUCUCUUUUGCUUUCUCCUCGGCAGUCGCGGCACUGUGCAAACCCCCCCCCCCCCAACCCCCACACGGAUAAAAAAGUCCGGGCACCACUGGUGUAAAGUCAGUACAGGAAGGGGCUCAUCACACACCCGUGAGGGGAGCCGGUGCUCGGUGUCUGUAUGAAGGAAAGGUAAGGGCCAAGUCUCACAGUCUGAGAGACUUGGUGCUGAGUGAGAAAGUUCUUUAUCCAAGUGUAAUGGUGUGAUGUUGUGCGCUAUAAUAGGAACAGGAUGCAGAAGCACACUUUUAUUUUGAAAGGCAGCACUUUCUCUGUCAUUUAUUCCUUUUUGUUCUUUUGAACAUCAUUGAAGGAAUUGUGUUUAAAAAUGUUCAUUGUAGGGGGGAAAAUGCCGUUGAAUUGUUGAUGGAAAAUCUGACAACCACAGUUAGUAGGCUACGUGCUUUAUUUUGAAGCCAUACUUAUCAUGUGGCGGGAGGAACUACUUCCUCUUGUUUAUGAGACUUCUGAGUGUAAGGUACACAUUUUGCUCUCUCCACAUAUUUUCAGUUUUCAUGUAGAAUGUGAAUAUAUGUUAGUUUAAAUCGUUUGCAAAGCAGGUGUAGUCACAGAAGCGCAGUGUUGAAUACGUUUCAUUGAUUUUAAGCAUAAACCUGCAAGUUGGAGGAGGAGUGGAGAGGUUGCAAUGUGUGUGUUGCUGAGGACUAUGUGGUUUUUUCGGUCCAGAUGAGUGUUAGCAGAACCCGCGUGGUAACCCUGUUCUUGAUUUCAGAGAGUUUUGAGAGUAAUUGUAAAGAGAACUCUGUGAACAUCCAUGAAUGUGUCUCCCUUAAAAUACAAGUAUGUGAGUUUAUGCAAGUUUUUUUUAUAUUCUUUUCAUCUGUUGCGAUGUAAGUCAUAUGUUAUUUGUUUUUGUGAUAUAUUUCCUCUUGUUUGUGAGACUUCUGAGUGUAAGAGUUUUGGGAGUAAUUGUGUAGAGAAAUCUGUGAACAUCCAUGAAUGUGUCUCCUUUAUAAUACAGA